This 116-nucleotide ribosomal RNA is filed under the name Romboutsia hominis. Lineage: Bacteria; Bacillati; Bacillota; Clostridia; Peptostreptococcales; Peptostreptococcaceae. The record is from RNAcentral.
AACGUAGCUAUGUCUUACUCUCCCAGGAGGUCGCCCUCCAAGUACCAUCAGCGCUAAAGAGCUUAACUUCUGUGUUCGGUAUGGGAACAGGUGUAUCCUCUUUGCUAUAAUAACUA